GGGCCCGCACAAGCGGUGGAGUAUGUGGUUUAAUUCGAAGCAACGCGCAGAACCUUACCAACCCUUGACAUCCUGAUCGCGGUUACGAGAGAUCGUUUCCUUCAGUUCGGCUGGAUCAGUGACAGGUGCUGCAUGGCUGUCGUCAGCUCGUGUCGUGAGAUGUUCGGUUAAGUCCGGCAACGAGCGCAACCCACGUCCUUAGUUGCCAGCAGUUCGGCUGGGCACUCUAGGGAAACUGCCGGUGAUAAGCCGGAGGAAGGUGUGGAUGACGUCAAGUCCUCAUGGCCCUUACGGGUUGGGCUACACACGUGCUACAAUGGCAGUGACAAUGGGUUAAUCCCAAAAAGCUGUCUCAGUUCGGAUUGUCGUCUGCAACUCGACGGCAUGAAGUCGGAAUCGCUAGUAAUCG
This 409-nucleotide ribosomal RNA is filed under the name uncultured bacterium. RNAcentral's name for it is "bacterial SSU rRNA". It matches the Rfam family "Bacterial small subunit ribosomal RNA", at positions 917 to 1344 of the family's 1533-position model. The record is from RNAcentral.